Molecule: ribosomal RNA, 453 nt
Filed under: uncultured Porphyromonadaceae bacterium
Lineage: Bacteria; Pseudomonadati; Bacteroidota; Bacteroidia; Bacteroidales; Porphyromonadaceae
Description: partial 16S ribosomal RNA
Rfam family: Bacterial small subunit ribosomal RNA
Source: RNAcentral
ACGGAAGGCAGCAGUGAGGAAUAUUGGUCAAUGGGCGGAAGCCUGAACCAGCCAAGUCGCGUGAAGGAAGAAGGUAUUAUGUAUUGUAAACUUCUUUAGCAGCAGAGAAAUAAGGGAGUCGUGACUCCUGAUGCCAGUAUGCUGAGAAUAAGCAUCGGCUAACUCCGUGCCAGCAGCCGCGGUAAUACGGAGGAUGCGAGCGUUAUCCGGAUUUAUUGGGUUUAAAGGGUGCGCAGGCGGUCUUUUAAGUCAGUGGUCAAAUCGUGGUGCUCAACGCCAUCCCGCCAUUGAUACUGGGAGACUUGAUUGCGGUUGAGGUAGGCGGAAUUCGUCGUGUAGCGGUGAAAUGCAUAGAUAUGACGAAGAACACCGAUUGCGUAGGCAGCUUACCAAGCCGUAAAUGACGCUCAUGCACGAAAGUGCGGGGAUCGAACAGGAUUAGAUACCCUGGUA